RNAcentral lists this ribosomal RNA (465 nucleotides) under uncultured bacterium. RNAcentral's name for it is "partial 16S ribosomal RNA". It matches the Rfam family "Bacterial small subunit ribosomal RNA", at positions 28 to 506 of the family's 1533-position model. The record is from RNAcentral.
GAUGAACGCUGGCGGCGUGCUUAACACAUGCAAGUCGAACGGAAAGGCUCCUGCUUGCAGGGGUACUCGAGUGGCGAACGGGUGAGUAACACGUGGGUGAUCUGCCCUGCACCUCGGGAUAAGCCUGGGAAACUGGGUCUAAUACCGGAUAGGACCAUCGUUUAGUGUCGGUGGUGGAAAGUUUUUUCGGUGUGGGAUGAGCUCGCGGCCUAUCAGCUUGUUGGUGGGGUAAUGGCCUACCAAGGCGUCGACGGGUAGCCGGCCUGAGAGGGUGUACGGCCACAUUGGGACUGAGAUACGGCCCAGACUCCUACGGGAGGCAGCAGUGGGGAAUAUUGCACAAUGGGCGCAAGCCUGAUGCAGCGACGCCGCGUGGGGGAUGACGGCCUUCGGGUGGUAAACUCCUUUCGCCAGGGACGAAGCGAAAGUGACGGUACCUGGAUAAGAAGCACCGGCUAACUACGU